GUUCCGUCAUUGUGCCGGAUGUUAGAUACCAUCGAGUCCGAGCAAAUUUUGCCGGUGUGGUUUAGACGGCUAUCGAUACGGCAGAUACCAAAGAAUGAAGGUUUCCAAUUGCUAUGAGAAACGAUUGUUUUGAAUAUUGUGUACUGCAUAUUUUUGUUUGAGUGUCUGAUUGUCAUAAAAAUAAAAUAAAUGAUGUACGUGAUAUUUAAAUAUAGAGUUAAAAGAAGCGAUAUAUAACUGACCAAAUCUAGAACGACGUUUUACAGUAGCG
This 271-nucleotide long non-coding RNA is filed under the name Mytilus galloprovincialis (Mediterranean mussel). Lineage: Eukaryota; Metazoa; Mollusca; Bivalvia; Mytilida; Mytilidae. The record is from RNAcentral.